Molecule: ribosomal RNA, 1927 nt
Filed under: human metagenome
Description: bacterial LSU rRNA
Rfam family: Bacterial large subunit ribosomal RNA
Source: RNAcentral
UCAAGUGACUAAGUGCAUGCGGCGGAUGCCUUGGCGAUCACAGGCGAAGAAAGACGCGGCAGCCUGCGAAAAGCUGCGGGGAGCUGGCAAACGAGCUUUGAUCCGCAGAUAUCUGAAUGGGGGAACCCACACCGCAAGGUGUAUCCGUAACUGAAUACAUAGGUUACGGAGGCGAACGAGGAGAACUGAAACAUCUAAGUAUCCUCAGGAAAAGAAAUCAACCGAGAUUCCGGCAGUAGCGGCGAGCGAACCCGGAGGAGCCUAGCUUUUGAUAGUACGAACUUUAGCCGAAAGGUCCUGGAAAGGCCUGCUAUAGUGGGUGAUAGCCCCGUAGGCGAAAGAGUUGGUACGGUACUAAGGAAGCGGGAAGUAGAGCGGGACACGUGGAAUCCUGUUCGAAGACGGGGGGACCAUCCUCCAAGGCUAAAUACUCGUGAUCGACCGAUAGUGAACCAGUACCGUGAGGGAAAGGCGAAAAGAACCCCGGGAGGGGAGUGAAAUAGAACCUGAAACCGCAUGCAUACAAACAGUAGGAGCCUCAUCAGAGGUGACUGCGUACCUUUUGCAUAAUGGGUCAGCGACUUACAUUCUGUGGCGAGCUUAACCGAAUAGGGGAGGCGCAGCGAAAGCGAGUUCGAAAUGAGCGUCCAGUCGCAGGGUGUAGACCCGAAACCAGAUGAGCUAUCCAUGGCCAGGUUGAAGGUGUGGUAACACACACUGGAGGACCGAACCGACUAGUGUUGCAAAAUUAGCGGAUGAGCUGUGGAUAGGGGUGAAAGGCCAAACAAAUCUGGAGAUAGCUGGUUCUCCCCGAAAACUAUUGAGGUAGUGCCUCGUGUGUCGCUCCAGGGGGUAGAGCACUGUUUUGGCUAGGGGGACAUGGAGUCUUACCAAACCAAGGCAAACUCCGAAUACCUGGAAGCGUGAGCACGGGAGACAGAGCACCGGGUGCUAACGUCCGGACUCAAAAGGGAAACAACCCAGACCGCCGGCUAAGGUCCCAAAUAACAGCUAAGUGGAAAACGAAGUGGAAAGGCCGUGACAACCAGGAAGUUGGCUUAGAAGCAGCCAUCCUUCAAAGAAAGCGUAAUAGCUCACUGGUCGAGUCCUUCUGCGCGGAAGAUGUAACGGGGCUAAGCUGUUAACCGAAGCCGCGGAUGCGCUGGUUAUCCAGUGCGUGGUAGGGGAGCGUUCUGUAAGUCUGCGAAGGCGGUUCGAGAGGACUGCUGGAGAUAUCAGAAGUGCGAAUGCUGACAUGAGUAACGUUAAAGCAGGUGAAAAGCCUGCUCGCCGUAAGCCCAAGGAUUCCUGCUCUACGUUCAUCGGAGCAGGGUGAGUCGGCUCCUAAGGUCAGGCCGAAAGGCGUAGCCGAUGGGAAUCAGGUUAAUAUUCCUGAACCUGCGUCAGAUGCGAUGGGGGGACGGAGCAUGGAAGAUCAUCCGGGUGUUGGAAGUCCCGGUUGUUGAGCGUAGGAGGUCUGCAGGCAAAUCCGCAGACGCAUCUCCAAGGCAAAGACACGUGCCGCCACGGCGGCGAAGUGAUCGGAAGUGCUUCCAAGAAAAGCCUCUAAGCCCCAGUCUGACGCGGACCGUACCGCAAACCGACACUGGUGGGCGAGCUGAAUAUGCUCAGGCGCUUGAGAGAACUCGGGAGAAGGAACUCGGCAAAUUGACACCGUAACUUCGGAAGAAGGUGUGCCGUAGUACCGUGAGAGGAGAGACACCUUGAGCGGGAAACGGUCUCAGAGAAUAGGUGGCUGCGACUGUUUAUUAAAAACACAGCACUCUGCAAAGUCGAAAGACGACGUAUAGGGUGUGAUGCCUGCCCGGUGCUGGAAGAUUAAUUGAUGGGGUGAGAGCCCUUGAUCGAAGUCCCAGUAAACGGCGGCCGUAACUAUAACGGUCCUAAGGUAGCGAAAUUCCUUGUC